Molecule: ribosomal RNA, 468 nt
Filed under: uncultured bacterium
Lineage: Bacteria
Description: partial 16S ribosomal RNA
Rfam family: Bacterial small subunit ribosomal RNA
Source: RNAcentral
GACGAACGCUGGCGGCGUGCUUAACACAUGCAAGUCGAACGGAAAGGCCCUGCUUUUGUGGGGUGCUCGAGUGGCGAACGGGUGAGUAACACGUGAGUAACCUGCCCUUGACUUUGGGAUAACUUCAGGAAACUGGGGCUAAUACCGGAUAGGAGCUCCUGCUGCAUGGUGGGGGUUGGAAAGUUUCGGCGGUUGGGGAUGGACUCGCGGCUUAUCGGCUUGUUGGUGGGGUAGUGGCGUACCAAGGCUUUGACGGGUAGCCGGCCUGAGAGGGUGACCGGCCACAUUGGGACUGAGAUACGGCCCAGACUCCUACGGGGGGCAGCAGUGGGGAAUACUGCACAAUGGGCGGAAGCCUGAUGCAGCAACGCCGCGUGCGGGAUGACGGCCUUCGGGUUAUAAACCGAUUUCGCCUGUGACGAAGCGUGAGUGACGGUAAUGGGUAAAGAAGCACCGGCUAACUACGUG